Non-coding RNA from Paramuricea clavata, 270 nucleotides. Lineage: Eukaryota; Metazoa; Cnidaria; Anthozoa; Malacalcyonacea; Plexauridae. The record is from the annotation of a GenBank genome assembly.
CAAGACAACAACAUUUGUGAAUAACAGUUAAUAUAUCAUAAGCAUACUGUAGGAAAUGGAAAAUGUAUUGUCAUUUUAAUUAAUAAAAACAUGUAAAAAGGUUUCCCAUGCAGUAUGUAAUGCACACAUUUAUGCGCAGGCAAAUUUAUUUCUUCUGAGCUAUAUUUCAAAAUUGCAUGCAACUAUAAUAUUAUCGUAAUUCAACAAUGACACUGCUAGAAAAACAAUAUAGCUUUCCAAAUAUCAAUGGAGAUAAACUGGUGAUUGAGU